UACGUAGGGGGCUAGCGUUGUCCGGAAUCAUUGGGCGUAAAGCGCGUGUAGGCGGUCCGGUAAGUCCGCUGUGAAAGUCGGGGGCUCAACCCUCGGAUGCCGGUGGAUACUGUCGGGCUUGAGUACGGAAGAGGCGAGUGGAAUUCCUGGUGUAGCGGUGAAAUGCGCAGAUAUCAGGAGGAACACCGGUGGCGAAGGCGGCCUUCUGGACAGUGACUGACGCUGAGACGCGAAAGCGUGGGGAGCAAACAGG
RNAcentral lists this ribosomal RNA (253 nucleotides) under uncultured bacterium. RNAcentral describes it as "partial 16S ribosomal RNA". It matches the Rfam family "Bacterial small subunit ribosomal RNA", at positions 524 to 776 of the family's 1533-position model. The record is from RNAcentral.